AUAUUGUAUCUCAGAAUGAAAA
Molecule: microRNA, 22 nt
Filed under: Monodelphis domestica (gray short-tailed opossum)
Lineage: Eukaryota; Metazoa; Chordata; Mammalia; Didelphimorphia; Didelphidae
Description: Mdo-Mir-7360-P2b_3p* (star (passenger))
Source: RNAcentral